Molecule: ribosomal RNA, 605 nt
Filed under: uncultured Bacteroidota bacterium
Lineage: Bacteria; Pseudomonadati; Bacteroidota
Description: bacterial SSU rRNA
Rfam family: Bacterial small subunit ribosomal RNA
Source: RNAcentral
CGUACUGAGACACGGACCAGACUCCUACGGGAGGCAGCAGUGAGGAAUAUUGGACAAUGGGAGCAAUCCUGAUCCAGCCAUGCCGCGUGCAGGAAGACUGCCCUAUGGGUUGUAAACUGCUUUUAUACAGGAAGAAAAAGGUGUACGUGUACACUGUUGACGGUACUGUAAGAAUAAGGAUCGGCUAACUCCGUGCCAGCAGCCGCGGUAAUACGGAGGAUCCAAGCGUUAUCCGGAAUCAUUGGGUUUAAAGGGUCCGUAGGCGGGACAAUAAGUCAGUGGUGAAAGUCUGCAGCUCAACUGUGGAAUUGCCAUUGAUACUGUUGUUCUUGAGUGCUCGUGAAGUGGUUAGAAUGAGUAGUGUAGCGGUGAAAUGCAUAGAUAUUACUCAGAAUACCGAUUGCGAAGGCAGAUCACUAACAAUUCACUGACGCUGAUGGACGAAAGCGUAGGUAGCGAACAGGAUUAGAUACCCUGGUAGUCUACGCCGUAAACGAUGGUUACUAGCUGUUCGGACCAAUUGAGGUCUGAGUGGCUAAGCGAAAGUGAUAAGUAACCCACCUGGGGAGUACGUUCGCAAGAAUGAAACUCAAAGGAAUUGACGG